This 253-nucleotide ribosomal RNA is filed under the name uncultured bacterium. RNAcentral's name for it is "partial 16S ribosomal RNA". It matches the Rfam family "Bacterial small subunit ribosomal RNA", at positions 524 to 776 of the family's 1533-position model. The record is from RNAcentral.
UACGUAGGGUGCUAGCGUUGUUCGGAAUUAUUGGGCGUAAAGCGCGUGUAGGUGGUUUGUUAAGUCGGAUGUGAAAUCCCUGGGCUCAACCGAGGAAGUGCAUUCGAAACUACCAAGCUAGAGGACGGCAGAGGAUGGUGGAAUUCCUAGUGUAGAGGUGAAAUUCGUAGAUAUUAGGAGGAAUACCGGCGGCGAAGGCGGCCAUCUGGGCCGUUCCUGACACUGAGACGCGAAAGCGUGGGUAGCAAACAGG